GACGAACGCUGGCGGCGUGCUUAACACAUGCAAGUCGAGCGGAAAGGCCCUUCGGGGUACUCGAGCGGCGAACGGGUGAGUAACACGUGGGUAACCUGCCCCUUGCUCUGGGAUAACUCCGGGAAACCGGGGCUAAUACCGGAUACGACCACUUUAGGCAUCUUCGGUGGUGGAAAGUUUUUCGGUCGAGGGAGUGGACCCGCGGCCUAUCAGCUUGUUGGUGGGGUAAGUGGCCUACCAAGGCAGUGACGGGUAGCCGGCCUGAGAGGGCGACCGGCCACACUGGACUGAGACACGGCCCAGACUCCUACGGGAGGCAGCAGUGGGGAAUAUUGCGCAAUGGGCGAAAGCCUGACGCAGCGAC
RNAcentral lists this ribosomal RNA (364 nucleotides) under uncultured bacterium. RNAcentral's name for it is "bacterial SSU rRNA". It matches the Rfam family "Bacterial small subunit ribosomal RNA", at positions 28 to 395 of the family's 1533-position model. The record is from RNAcentral.